UCCUCGGUAGCUCAAUGGUAGAGCACCCGGCUGUUAACCGGGUUGUUGCUGGUUCGAGCCCAGCCCGGGGAGCCA
Molecule: transfer RNA, 75 nt
Filed under: Bacillota bacterium
Lineage: Bacteria; Bacillati; Bacillota
Also listed under: 1 other name
Description: Firmicutes bacterium (anaerobic digester metagenome) tRNA-Asn
Rfam family: tRNA
About the family: Transfer RNA (tRNA) molecules are approximately 80 nucleotides in length.
Source: RNAcentral